Molecule: RNA transcript, 2827 nt
Organism: Brassica napus (rape)
Lineage: Eukaryota; Viridiplantae; Streptophyta; Magnoliopsida; Brassicales; Brassicaceae
Gene name: protein NRT1/ PTR FAMILY 2.3-like
Exons: 2
Source: RefSeq, a predicted model, not a curated record
UGUAUUUUGGAUCAUCCAAUGAAAUUAACUUAGCUUGUUUAAAUUGCAUAUCACUUUAAAACAUUAUUGCAAAGUAAGUAAGAUAUAUAUUACACAAACUAAAAAAUCACUUCCAAUGUCAUCGUUUGAAGCACCACUUGAACGUCUGUUUUCACAUUGCUUGAUGCAUGCAUGCAAUUUCUUUGUUGCUUUCUCAAUAGUUUGAAUUCGACUAUGGAUAUAUUUCUUUGUACAUUCACUCCAACUUGAAAAAUAUACUACAUAUGCCACUCUUUCAAUUAGGGUUAAUAGGACAUUUUAGAUUUAAUGCAAGCCACAAUUUUUUCUGGAUUUUCUUGCUAUAUUCUAUAUUUUAUAAUAUUUUAAUAACAAUUAAAGGUAACCAAAUCUAACUAAUAUUGAUAAUAAGUAAAUAUAUAAUUUAAACUAAUCCCAUCGAAAGUGUUACAUUUAAAAACAUAUUGUUAUAAUUUACAAAAACAAAUAUCAUUUUUAAAAUAUGUUGAGCAUAGCAAAUGUGAAUUUAAAGUUUCAUGUUAGUACAAAAUUUACUUGGUCAUAUAUGAAUUAUUUUAUUAUGAAACAAAUAUACUUUUUUUAUAAUAAUUUAAGAUAUUUUCAAACUUGGGUAACUAUCAAAAUCACAUUGUUUGAAAUAUGAAUUAGCUCGAGAUUUAUAAGAUCCACAAUAUAUGAGAAUAGCAAGUAUACCUAUAUUUUGAUACACAAUAUCUUUCAAGUUUGGAAUAUGCUAUACGUAUAUUCCUAAAGCUAUCUUAUCCCUAGCUUUACAGACACGAUUUCUCAUUACUAUAAAUAUGGCUUCUUUAAACCUUUUCUUAACAAACCACUUAUAUCGUAAAAUUAGCUCGAGAUCUUUAAUAUUUUUGAGGAUUCGAUUGAUGUGGCUCUGGAAUGAUUUCUCUUUAUGCAUUGAUUUUCCUAUUCUGUUUUCAAGGUUUUGGAAUAUUGAACUGGAUUCUCUGGUUUCUUUUGAGUUUUUUUUUCUGUUCAGUUCUUUUUGAGCUUAUUGGAUAUUUGUUUGAGGUUUUUAACACAAAAGUUUGUAAAGUCAUUACAGCUUUAUCAAGUAGAUAAUACAAGGUUGGUAGGCUUUUGACAUUUCAGGAUUAGUAUGACUGUUUAGGUCUUAUAACCUUUUCUCGUGGCUCUGGUGUUUACAAGCAUAUAGAGUUCUAUCACUUGAUUCACUGUGGUUGGUACUUUUUCUCUUAUUCUAUUAAACACUUUACAUGUGUUCAUGGGGUCUUGGGGUUCAAGUUAAGCGGGAUGUAGAGUCAUAUAUACAAGGAACAAGAGGUUGCAAAAAAAAAAACUAAAAGGUCCCAGGUUUUUGUGGAUACAUAGUAUCUCAAAGGAAGUACAAGAAAGGAAAUGGGGUGGUCUAUCUUGGUAUAUAUUACAUGAGUUUUUGAUGGAUACAUGGUACACCCUUCAUUCAAUAGGUUUCUCAACGAUCAAAGGUCUAUGGGAUGCAAUAGUUUAUGGGAGGUCCUUAUUAUGGGUUGAUGGUUGUUUAUCGUGCUGUACGGUUUUACGAGUUUUGAACAUAGUUAUGUUAUACAUGGCUGGUUAAUCAAAGAAUGCAUCUUUCAGUCCAAGUCUUAUUAUGAUAACAAGGAAAUAUAUAGCGGUUGUUUAUGUAUUCAUAUUUCAUUGGAAGGACAUUUUACUAAUAGCAUAGCGAAAAAAUUGAAAAUACUAAUAUUUAGAAGAAAAAUAUUUAGAUGAAAAAUAAUAAUGAAAAUAUGACAUUUACUAAAUAUUUGUAAAUUUUUAAAAACAUUUCAAGGAAACUAGUAUAGUGUUAAGGCUUUUACAUCGUCAUCAGACACACAAACAUAAGUCAGAAGUAACUCCUGAUUGUUCUUUCCUUCAUGGCUGAUUUAGUCUCUGGUGACAUAGAAGUGCAACACUCUGGCGAUCCAAGCGGCAAGUGUGGUGGCUGGAUCACUUUUCCCUUCAUAAUCGUUACGUUGUUAGGACUGUCCAUAACUUUUUUCGGAGUGAUACUUAACUUGAUCGUAUACUUGAUCGAGGAAUUCAACAUCAAGAGCAUCGCUGCUGCUCAGAUUUCAAAUAUUUUCAAUUGAUGUCUUGCCAUGUUGCCUGUUGUUGCAGCCAUUCUAGCCGACUCUUUCUUCGGAGACAUUCCCGUCAUCUUGGCUUCUACUUUCAUUUAUCUGCUCGUAAAUCCAAAACUCAUCGAGGCUCUACUCUCAAUUUAUACAAAUGCUCACCAUUUCCAAAACGUUUUUUCCAGGGCAUCUCUCUUUUGACUCUUAUCGCAUUUUCGGACUACUUGAGACCUCGACCAUGUGAACCGGGCUCAAUCCUAUGCCAAUCACCAUCAGACCUCCAGCUUGGGAUUUUAUAUGUAGUCCUAGCUCUAGUGACUACUGGAACAGCUGGGACACGAGUGGCUUUGGCAUCUGCUGGUGCAAACCAAUAUGAGAAACCUAAAGAUCAAGGAACCUUCUUCAACUGUUACUUCCUCAUGGUAAAUACAGGCGCGAUCAUUAGCGCGACAGAAAUUGUAUAUACUCAGGACAAUGCUAGCUGGAAGCUCGGGUUCGGUCUCUGCGCUGCUGCUAAUUUAAUCAGUUUUGUCCUUUUCAUCUCCGGGAAGAGACUUUACAAGCAUAACAAACCUAUGGUGUUGGGAAUAAUACCCAAUAUUGAUGAGAUGAAAAUGAGAUUUAGACAACUAAGAGAUUUAAGAAGAAGACUCUUAAUAUUUAGGAAAGGGUUUACUACAAAGAUUUUGUUUUUGCAAACUCUCUCUUACAAAUAUUUUCUCUCUUUG